UACAGAGGGUGCAAGCGUUAAUCGGAAUUACUGGGCGUAAAGCGUGCGUAGACGGUUAUCUAAGUCGGGUGUGAAAGCCCCGGGCUCAACCUGGGAAUUGCAUUCGAGACUGAAUAGCUAGGGUACGGAAGAGGGAAGCGGAAUUUCAGGUGUAGCGGUGAAAUGCGUAGAUAUCUGAAGGAACACCAGCGGCGAAAGCGGCUUCCUGGUCCAGUACCGACGUUCAGGCACGAAAGCGUGGGGAGCAAACAGG
This 253-nucleotide ribosomal RNA is filed under the name uncultured prokaryote. Its description in RNAcentral is "partial 16S ribosomal RNA". It matches the Rfam family "Bacterial small subunit ribosomal RNA", at positions 524 to 776 of the family's 1533-position model. The record is from RNAcentral.